UUAUAAGAGACAGCAGCAGCCGCGGGAAUACGAAGGGGGCUAGCGUUGUUCGGAUUUACUGGGCGUAAAGGGCGCGUAGGCGGACUGAUAAGUCAGGGGUGAAAUCCCAAGGCUCAACCUUGGAACUGCCUUUGAUACUGUUUGUCUUGAGUUCGAGAGAGGUAAGUGGAGCUGCGAGUGUAGAGGUGAAAUUCGUAGAUAUUCGCGAGAACACCAGUGGCGAAGGCGGCUUACUGGCUCGAAACUGACGCUGAGGCGCGAAAGCGUGGGGAGCAAACAGGAUUAGAUACCCGGGUAGUCCCUGUCUCUUAUAC
Molecule: ribosomal RNA, 314 nt
Filed under: uncultured bacterium
Lineage: Bacteria
Description: partial 16S ribosomal RNA
Rfam family: Bacterial small subunit ribosomal RNA
Source: RNAcentral